GACGAACGCUGGCGGCGUGCUUAACACAUGCAAGUCGAACGGAAAGGCCCCUUUGGGGGUACUCGAGUGGCGAACGGGUGAGUAACACGUGAGUAACCUGCCCUUGACUUCGGGAUAACUUCAGGAAACUGGGGCUAAUACCGGAUAGGAAUCCUUGCUGCAUGGUGGGGGUUGGAAAGCUUCGGCGGUUUUGGAUGGACUCGCGGCUUAUCAGCUUGUUGGUGGGGUUGUGGCUUACCAAGGCUUUGACGGGUAGCCGGCCUGAGAGGGCGACCGGCCACAUUGGGACUGAGAUACGGCCCAGACUCCUACGGGAGGCAGCAGUGGGGAAUAUUGCACAAUGGGCGGAAGCCUGAUGCAGCAACGCCGCGUGCGGGAUGACGGCCUUCGGGUUGUAAACCGCUUUCAGCAGGGGCGAAGCUUGUGGUGACGGUACCUGCAGAAGAAGCACCGGCUAACUACGUG
RNAcentral lists this ribosomal RNA (465 nucleotides) under uncultured bacterium. Its description in RNAcentral is "partial 16S ribosomal RNA". It matches the Rfam family "Bacterial small subunit ribosomal RNA", at positions 28 to 507 of the family's 1533-position model. The record is from RNAcentral.